This 417-nucleotide long non-coding RNA is filed under the name Vulpes vulpes (red fox). RNAcentral describes it as "lncRNA (ENSVVUG00000015343.1)". Lineage: Eukaryota; Metazoa; Chordata; Mammalia; Carnivora; Canidae. The record is from RNAcentral.
AUGAUAAUUUUGUCUCUAGGGGGCAUUUAUAAGGAACUAUUUAUAGUGGUGGAAGUCUUUAUCUGGAUUAUGUUUUUAUUAAGCUUCUUCUAUUGGGUAGAGUUGGUGACAUUUACGUCAGUAUAUAUUUUCCAAUGUAGGAAAGCUUUUCCCUUUACAUCUGCAACAAGAUUUCACCUGUAUGGACCAUUACCUGGAAGCUACCUCCUCUUUGUCUGUUAGCUGGAGACUGGAGUUAGAAGAUGCUGACAAAAUAGUGUAUCAGACAGUGUGGAUGAUUACUUGGAUUCUGAGAGAUGAAAGAAGCCCUCCGAUUCUUCCCAGUGGGUUAAGCUUCUCACUGGAAGUUGAAUAACCAGGUAGUAUAUUUAAGCUGUAAAACUGCCUCUGGCUUCUCCUACCCCAUACUGAAUAAAC